This 21-nucleotide non-coding RNA is filed under the name Caenorhabditis elegans. The record is from RNAcentral. Lineage: Eukaryota; Metazoa; Nematoda; Chromadorea; Rhabditida; Rhabditidae.
UGGAUUUGGAAUUUGUAGACU